CCUGAGAAACCCAAAAGUUCGAAUGGAGAGAUUCAUCGUCAGCGAUCCUGGCAAUUGUGCGGUUCGCGAUGCCGGGGACUUCGGUCUCGCGGCACGCGUCCGUAUGAUUUAUUUGCCAGGUGUCGUCGUCGUGCACUUCUCCCCUAGUAGGACGUCGCGACCCGUUGGGUGUCGGUCUACGACCCGGGUGGGUGCCCGUCAUGUGUCACGCUUCACGGCGUCAUGUGGCAGACCCCCGGUUGUCUGACCAGCUGCCCGGCGGUACUCGCACGGUAUUGAGUCGCAAUUUGAACUGCGUCCGGCCCGCCGCAAGCGAGGCCAGUGUUUCCCGGAUGUACGGACUCAGCGCCGUCACCGGGCCUGGCCAGCUGUUGGUCGGCGGUGUCCUGGGACUGGCUCUAAAUAAAUACCGGUCGGCGACGCUACUGCUUUGGGUACUUUCAGGACCCGUCUUGAAACACGGACCAAGGAGUCUAACAUGUGCGCGAGUCAUUGGGAUCUGUUAAGCCUAAAGGCGCAAUGAAAGUGAAGGUAGGCCUUGCGCCAACCGAGGGAGGAUGGGCCGCGUCACGAUGCGGUCCCGCACUCCCGGGGCGUCUCGUUCUCAUUGCGAGAAGAGGCGCACCUAGAGCGUAC
RNAcentral lists this ribosomal RNA (636 nucleotides) under Scirtetes robustus. RNAcentral describes it as "eukaryotic LSU rRNA". It matches the Rfam family "Eukaryotic large subunit ribosomal RNA", at positions 420 to 805 of the family's 3401-position model. The record is from RNAcentral. Lineage: Eukaryota; Metazoa; Arthropoda; Insecta; Hymenoptera; Ichneumonidae.